AACCGCAGCAUUGGGGAGUAGCCGCCUGCCACCCAAUAAAAGGCAGGGCGCAUAUCAACAUACUUGGCAGCCUCGGCCGCCAUGGUAUGCGCAGAUUUCGAAGAUCC
RNAcentral lists this small RNA (107 nucleotides) under Beta vulgaris. RNAcentral's name for it is "Manganese sequence". It matches the Rfam family "Manganese Mn2+ riboswitch aptamer (yybP-ykoY)". Rfam says of the family: This RNA was originally discovered in E. coli during a large scale screen and was named SraF. The family was later found to exist upstream of related families of protein genes in many bacteria, including the the yybP and ykoK genes in B. subtilis. The record is from RNAcentral. Lineage: Eukaryota; Viridiplantae; Streptophyta; Magnoliopsida; Caryophyllales; Amaranthaceae.